Long non-coding RNA from Nicotiana tabacum (common tobacco), 919 nucleotides. RefSeq lists it as uncharacterized. Lineage: Eukaryota; Viridiplantae; Streptophyta; Magnoliopsida; Solanales; Solanaceae. The record is from RefSeq and is a predicted model, not a curated record.
UCACCUGCACACUCACGUUUUUGUUUUUUAGAAAUGGAAAACAAUUUUGUUCAAACAUUUUUUGAUUCCAGAGAGGGGCCACAUGAAUUUCUUUUUCUCAAGCAUGAUAAUCUCAAUAAAAAGGAGGGCUCCCACACAUAAUACACAAACAGAGAAAUGGAAGAGAGAGGAGUAACGAGAGAGGAAAAACGGAAAGGGGAGUGGAGAUCUGAAAAAAAAAAGAAACAAAAAAAACAGAGGGGACGGAGAGAAGAAAGGAGCGGUCACAGCUUCACAAAAAUGGAGUUUGUAAUCUCUUUUUCUUCCUCCAUUAAUGCAGCUUCACAGUAGUAAACAAAGCAGCCCCAAACCCUCUUAUUCUUCAAAAACAAAUAAUAAACUCCAUUAAAAUGCACCAGAUUUCCUCUAUCCCACCACCCAAACACCUUCAUUUUCUGCUUUAGAAAAUCACCACUAUUACAUUAAUUUUUGGCAUCGGUUGGGUUUCAAGUUUUGUUGGCGGCGAGGUUCCCGAUCGAGACGGUAAUUAGCUGUAACUUCGGUCAUCGGUCCAAGUCAUUUCCUAUGUUUCAAGCACCUUUGGCUUUGCUGUAUUCUUCACUGAGUUAUUUUCACUAGUACAAACCAAAAGCCUUGCAGGGUACUUCAUUGGGCCCCAUCUUCACAUGGCUUGGUCGGAGAUUCCUUCCGUGUUUGUAACUUUUUCUUCCACUCAAAAUUUUAACUUGUCUUUUAGCACAGCUAGCAUUUCUUCCUGUUACCUCUUCUUUUCUUGUUUUUCUCGUUGGUAUGCUAUCAUUAUUGAUUUGUAUACCAGCCUUGUUUCUUUUGUCUUUAGUGCUCUUAACUGGGACUUUGUUUUUAGGUGUCUAAAUUAUGUAUAGCUAUUGAAUCGAAGCUCAUUUCUGACUCAUCUUCA